This is a long non-coding RNA of Notothenia coriiceps (black rockcod), 393 nucleotides long. RefSeq lists it as uncharacterized. The record is from RefSeq and is a predicted model, not a curated record. The transcript is spliced from 4 exons. NCBI's taxonomy places the organism in Eukaryota, Metazoa, Chordata, Actinopteri, Perciformes, Nototheniidae.
UGACAGUCCAGGGCUCCGAGAGGAAAGCACCAGCCCAGAGAGAGAGAGAGAGAGAGAGAGAGAGAGAGAGAGAGAGGGGGUAGAGAGAGAGAGCCAGUGUGAAAGCAGGGGGGUUGCCAGUUUUUAAUCCCAAUCCCACACUUCAAGAAAGUGCCUCUCCAUUUCAGCGAGGAUGGAGGACGCACACAUGAAAGAGUCGCCGGACGUUCUGUCCUACUUUGGCGUCACUGAAGAAAUCGGCCUUUCAACUGAUCAGGCCAAGAAGAACCAGGAAAGAUAUGGCUUCAACGAGCUGCCAGCAGAGGAGGGAAAGACUGUCUGGGAGUUGGUGGCGGAACAGUUCGAGGACCUGUUGGUCAGAAUCUUACUGCUGGCCGCCGGCAUCUCUUUCGU